RNAcentral lists this long non-coding RNA (731 nucleotides) under Fukomys damarensis (Damara mole-rat). Its description in RNAcentral is "lncRNA (ENSFDAG00000023780.1)". The record is from RNAcentral. Lineage: Eukaryota; Metazoa; Chordata; Mammalia; Rodentia; Bathyergidae.
AAAAAUCACACAUUCACCUUCUUUCUUUAUUCUGCAGGUUGUUUCUUUCAGAGACAUAUUGCUGAAACCACAAAACAAAUGCAACUGAAUCGCCAGCCAGGCCGAUGGCCCCAUCCUUGCUGUGGACCCCGACACGCCUCAUCUCCAUCUCCUUUCCCUUCUGGCCUCUGUGUCUCCUGUUCUCCCACCAAACGCUUCAGUGCAUCCCCCGAAGAGCUUCGCAGAUGCUGCUUCCCCACCCGCUGCGCUGCCAAAACACAGAGCUUUCAGCUCCUCCCCUCCUGCACACACGAGACGAGAUCUAAAUAGAUGACGAAUGCUGGUGCCCAGUGCCCUGCAACGGAAAGGCAGGCUCAGAAAAUAUUGCUGCGUGUUCUCAUCCAAGUCAUUCACCAGAUCUGGCAGCACGCAACUUCUGGCUCCUCCCCAAAGGAAAACUGUCCACACAAGGUAAACAUUUGAGUCGGUUCGGGACGCCCAGGCAGCUACAGAAGAGCACACCCAGAAAGAACUGCGUCAGAAGGCGGCAGAAACGUUGGGAUAAGUGCGUUACAGGACAGAGGGAGUAUACUGAGGGGGGCGGACGGCAACGUGUCUUUUACCGUAAUAAAUGUUGAAUGUAAGCACUGACUGUAGUUUUCAAUUAGCCCUCGUAGGUCCAUGAAUACGAGGCCCAGAGGAACUCACACAGAGGACGAGGCAGGCAAAGACAUACACACAAAGAAAGAGAG